This 1016-nucleotide long non-coding RNA is filed under the name Homo sapiens (human). RNAcentral's name for it is "long intergenic non-protein coding RNA 1685". Lineage: Eukaryota; Metazoa; Chordata; Mammalia; Primates; Hominidae. The record is from RNAcentral.
GGCAUUGUGGCGCCAUCCAUGACUGACACUAAACAUUCUAGAAGUAUUUCUGUUUUCAUGCAGAUACACACAGCACAGCUAGUUUCAAAAUUAAACCACAAUGAAAACUGUCACUACUGACAAGGAACUAUGCAAAGACCUUCGGUCUCAGGCCCUUGCUCACUCAGGAGUACCUUGAGACCUGUUUCUUCCUGUUCAGCUGCAGUCACGGUUCUAACCUGGUUCUUCUCACGGCUGGUAUCCUCUGACCUUUUAUGUCUUGGCAAUGACUUCCAUGCAUUUUGGCAGUGACUGCCUGAAUCUCUGAUUCAACCCUGAUCGCAGCCUCUCGGGCUUUCUCGCUCCUUUAAUUCUUUCCGCGGAUGGCCACGGCUUUUGCCGCCUGUACCCUUCCUGGAGCAACCCGUGCUUUUGAAAAAUGACCAUGCCGAAGGGGAACUAACACUCCCAGCCUGGUGCGGGUCUUGUCAAUCUGAUUUUUAAAUGAUGGAGGAGGAGGUUUGAGGACAAAGCUCAUGGUGGCAUUACCACUAUCAGGGACGCUGCAAAGAUCAAGUGAAAAGGGGAAAAGGCUCUUCUCAAUGUGAGCACAUUCACAGGCUCUGAGAACAGAGAGGUAUUUAAAGUGAACUGGAACAAACCUGCAACAUCCGUCAGAGAAAAACACUCAUUGAACCCUCCACUGGAAAGUAGCUGCAAAAGACCCCCUGAUCCCAAACCUGCUUGACAGACCACAGCCAAGGGCAGGGACACUCAACAACUGUAAACGAGGAACAUUUCACAGCGGCAGCUGGCCCCUCUCUUCUUCCAACCAGCCAAUAUUUUUUGUCUUUCUAGAAAACCUGUCUUGUUCAAAGGCCUGAUGGAGCUGAUUCGGUUGUGAUCCUGGGCAUAUGGAUGGCAUAUUUGCUGCGAGCUAGCCGGCCCCCGCUGCUGCGGACAAAUCUUUCAUUCAUGAACAGGAGCUUGUUAGGCCAACUCCGGACUCUAAAGCCACUUAAUUAAAUUGUGGAAAG